This 253-nucleotide ribosomal RNA is filed under the name uncultured bacterium. RNAcentral's name for it is "partial 16S ribosomal RNA". It matches the Rfam family "Bacterial small subunit ribosomal RNA", at positions 524 to 776 of the family's 1533-position model. The record is from RNAcentral.
UACGUAGGGGGCUAGCGUUGUCCGGAAUCAUUGGGCGUAAAGAGCUCGUAGGCGGUCUGUUGCGUCGGCUGUGAAAACCCGGGGCUCAACUCCGGGCCUGCAGCCGAUACGGGCAGACUAGAGUUCGGUAGGGGAGACUGGAAUUCCUGGUGUAGCGGUGAAAUGCGCAGAUAUCAGGAGGAACACCGGUGGCGAAGGCGGCAUCCUGGACCGAGAUUGACGCUGAGGCGCGAAAGCCAGGGGAGCAAACGGG